RNAcentral lists this non-coding RNA (108 nucleotides) under Lupinus angustifolius (narrow-leaved blue lupine). RNAcentral describes it as "rRNA SSU_rRNA_eukarya". It matches the Rfam family "Eukaryotic small subunit ribosomal RNA", at positions 483 to 594 of the family's 1831-position model. The record is from Rfam by way of RNAcentral. Lineage: Eukaryota; Viridiplantae; Streptophyta; Magnoliopsida; Fabales; Fabaceae.
ACCGACCCCGAUCUUCUGUGAAGGGUUCGAGUGAGAGCAUAAAUCCCUUAAUGAGGAUCCAUUGGAAGGCAAGUCUGGUGCCAACAACCGCGGUAGUUCCAGCUCCAA